This 482-nucleotide ribosomal RNA is filed under the name uncultured bacterium. RNAcentral describes it as "partial 16S ribosomal RNA". It matches the Rfam family "Bacterial small subunit ribosomal RNA", at positions 30 to 507 of the family's 1533-position model. The record is from RNAcentral.
AUUGAACGCUGGCGGCAUGCCUUACACAUGCAAGUCGAACGGUAACGGGCCUUCGGGUGCCGACGAGUGGCGAACGGGUGAGUAAUACAUCGGAACGUGCCCGAUCGUGGGGGAUAACGAGGCGAAAGCUUUGCUAAUACCGCAUACGAUCUACGGAUGAAAGCAGGGGACCGCAAGGCCUUGCGCGGACGGAGCGGCCGAUGGCAGAUUAGGUAGUUGGUGGGAUAAAAGCUUACCAAGCCGACGAUCUGUAGCUGGUCUGAGAGGAUGAUCAGCCACACUGGGACUGAGACACGGCCCAGACUCCUACGGGAGGCAGCAGUGGGGAAUUUUGGACAAUGGGCGCAAGCCUGAUCCAGCCAUGCCGCGUGCAGGAUGAAGGCCUUCGGGUUGUAAACUGCUUGUGUACGGAACGAAAAGCCUUCUUUUAAUACAGGAGGGUCAUGACGGUACCGUAAGAAUAAGCACCGGCUAACUACGUG